CGGCACGGGUGAGUAACACGUAUCCAACCUGCCGUCUACUCUUGGACAGCCUUCUGAAAGGAAGAUUAAUACAAGAUGGCAUCAUGAGUCCGCAUGUUCACAUGAUUAAAGGUAUUUUCCGGUAGACGAUGGGGAUGCGUUCCAUUAGAUAGUAGGCGGGGUAACGGCCCACCUAGUCAACGAUGGAUAGGGGUUCUGAGAGGAAGGUCCCCCACAUUGGAACUGAGACACGGUCCAA
Molecule: ribosomal RNA, 238 nt
Filed under: uncultured bacterium
Lineage: Bacteria
Description: partial 16S ribosomal RNA
Rfam family: Bacterial small subunit ribosomal RNA
Source: RNAcentral